GACGAACGCUGGCGGCGUGCUUAACACAUGCAAGUCGUACGGUAAGGCCCUUUCGGGGGUACACCAGUGGCGAACGGGUGAGUAACACGUGAGUAACCUGCCCACAACUUUGGGAUAACGCUAGGAAACUGGUGCUAAUACUGGAUAUGUGCCCCUGCUGCAUGGUGGGGGUUGGAAAGCUCCGGCGGUUGUGGAUGGACUCGCGGCCUAUCAGCUUGUUGGUGGGGUAGUGGCCUACCAAGGCGGCGACGGGUAGCCGGCCUGAGAGGGUGACCGGCCACAUUGGGACUGAGAUACGGCCCAGACUCCUACGGGAGGCAGCAGUGGGGAAUAUUGCACAAUGGGCGCAAGCCUGAUGCAGCAACGCCGCGUGCGGGAUGACGGCCUUCGGGUUGUAAACCGCUUUCAGCAGGGACGAAGCUUUUUGUGACGGUACCUGCAGAAGAAGCACCGGCUAACUACGUG
This 465-nucleotide ribosomal RNA is filed under the name uncultured bacterium. RNAcentral's name for it is "partial 16S ribosomal RNA". It matches the Rfam family "Bacterial small subunit ribosomal RNA", at positions 28 to 507 of the family's 1533-position model. The record is from RNAcentral.